GGCAUUUUCACCGAAGCCUCUACUCCUUUUGUCUUCAACAUUUCUCCUUGAAAUUAUUUCUUUUCAGCGAAAACAGUCUGUAGUUGUAACUUUCUCACACAUACAGUGAAAAUCUCCUCUGUGGAUCAUUAAAAAGGUAAGCUUGAAAUAGCUUUUCUUUUAUGAUUUUACUAUUUUUAGCUUUGGUUCAUCGCGUUGAUCAAUCCUUGUCUGAUUUCCUGAGCAAGUUUCGGUAUUCAUUUCCAAGAAUUUGUGAAACACUGGUCUAGAUUACUGGGUCUUGUUGGGAAUUUUGUUUUAACUUCACUUAUCAAGAGUCUCUUUCAUUGUGUUUAUUCAGUUUCCAAGUUUUGGGUUUGUGAGAAUCAUGAGAAAUUAAGUUCCAGAUAUGCUUUUGGCCGGUUAGGACUUGGUAUAAUAUGUAUUGGGUUUGUAGGAUUUUUGUGGGAUUUUGAUUUUAUUUUUACCCUCUUCUGUAAUUGCCAAGGAAAUGGUGGAAAUUGGAAGGAGGUGGAAUGUUGGGGUUUUAUGCUCUUUUGUGUUUUAGUUUCUAAUUUUGGAGAUAUCAGCUUGGGUGAGCGGUGAGCCAAGUGCUUACAUUAGGCUUAGUUAAGUGGUUUUGCUGCUUUCUUAAAUAUUGGCAUAUGUGAAAUUUGAGAUUUUAUAUUGUUUCCUAUUCCUUCUUUUCUCAGCCACUGAACAUCAUUAGCGUUUUGGAAUUUUGGGAUUCAGUUUGUUGACAUAUGGAUACUUCAGGUUUGGGAGGGCGUUUUCUGUCCCAUCCAACAGGUGGAUUAUUAAACCUCGAGUCACCAAUUCAUCGACAACAGCAGACCCAAUUGGGUCUUCCUUCGUUAGCCCAUCAAAAUCAUAUGAAUUUAGUAGGUGGCCAUGAGAAUGAUCAUCAAACCAUUGGGCUAAUGGAAGUGAAAGGCUCAAUCCCAAAAGGAUAUUCAGCAGUUUUCAGUAAAGGGAAAGCUGUUAGCCCUUUUAAUGCCACAAAUAAUGGCAGUGUGAGUGAGGAUGAUGAACCAAGCUUUACAGAAGAUGGGAAUGGUGAGAACACCAGUGGAGCUAAGGGUAAAAAGGGAUCCCCAUGGCAGCGAAUGAAAUGGACGGAUAAUGUGGUUAGGCUUCUUAUAGCAGUAGUCGCUUAUGUGGGUGAUGAUGGUGCAUUUGAGGGUGUUGAGGGGCUUAAGAGGAAAUCUGGGAUUCUGCAGAAGAAAGGUAAGUGGAAAUCGGUGUCAAAGAUAAUGAUCAGUAAGGGCUGUCAUGUUUCACCACAACAAUGUGAAGAUAAGUUUAAUGAUUUGAAUAAGCGGUACAAGAGGUUGAAUGAUAUUCUUGGAAGGGGAACCAGUUGUAGAGUGGUAGAGAAACCUGCUCUUAUGGACUCAAUGCCUCAUCUUUCAGCUAAAUCAAAGGAUGAUGUUAGAAAGAUAUUGAGUUCAAAACAUUUGUUUUAUAGGGAAAUGUGUGCUUACCAUAAUGGACAGAGGAUACCCGACUGCCAAGAUAUUGACCUACAGGGCUGUUCACUACCCCUUGAAAGGUGCUCAAGAGACAAUAAUGGCUCAGAGGAAGAGGAAGCUGGGGGACAUGAUGAUAGUGAUGAUGAUGAAUCAGAUAAUGAAAGUGACCUUAAUGCUUAUGAGGAUGGGGAGAGGAUGGGCAAGUAUGAGAAGAAUAAAGUAAAUGAAGAGGAUGACCAUCUUUGGGCUCAAUCAGGUUUGUGCAAUGGCUUUGAGGUCGAAAUGUCUGGGAUUCUUCAAGAUCCUAUGGUGUCAUUGUGGGAGAAAAAGGAGUGGAUUAAGAAACAGAAGUUGCAGCUCCUUGAGCAGAGGGUCAGCAUCCAGGCUCAAGCAGGUGAGCUUGAGAAAAGACGCUUCAAGUGGUUGAGAUAUUGCAGCAAGAAAGAUAGGGAGUUUGAUAGAUUAAGGCUGGAAAAUGAGAGGAUGAGACUAGAGAAUGAGCAAAGCAUAUUGCAACUGAGGCAGAAGCAACUGGAAAUGGAUUUCAGGAGCUCAGAAACAUCUCGAGACCUCACUUCCCUUGGUAUUGACAGAACGCAAGGAAGAGGUCAAAUUGAUCUGGACAGGCAUCAAUAGAUCCUUCAAAGUUUAAAGACUUGUCAAUCCACUCCUGCUCUCUUGUAUGAUUGUCCCCAACUGAACUUUUCUAGCGUUAUGUAAAUGGAGUAUCUAGCCUUGUGCACCACGUGUAUCGCUUUAGAUUGACAUUAGGAAUUUCUGAUAUAUAUAUUUUUUGAGCAUUUUGCUUCUUCUUCUUCUUCUUUU
This 2297-nucleotide unclassified non-coding RNA is filed under the name Hevea brasiliensis (rubber tree). Lineage: Eukaryota; Viridiplantae; Streptophyta; Magnoliopsida; Malpighiales; Euphorbiaceae. The record is from RNAcentral.